GAGCUGAAACAAAAAAGUAAUGUACUGGAACAAUACAAGAAGAAUUCUGAGCGUGUUCAAGCAAGUGAAUUUCGAUAUAAAGAGGAGCUGAAACUAAAAAGUCAUGAACUGGAACAAAGCAAGACAAAUUCUGAACACUUUCAAGCAAGUGAAUAUCAAUACAAAGAGGAGCUGAAACAAUGCAAAGAGGAACUGAAACAAAAAGGU
Long non-coding RNA from Puntigrus tetrazona (Sumatra barb), 207 nucleotides. RefSeq lists it as uncharacterized. The record is from RefSeq and is a predicted model, not a curated record. NCBI's taxonomy places the organism in Eukaryota, Metazoa, Chordata, Actinopteri, Cypriniformes, Cyprinidae. The transcript is spliced from 5 exons.